AAACGUUCUCCAAAGCGCUAAAAUGAAAAUAGUUGCCGCAUGAACUAUGAGCUGUAUGAGUUCCACAGAAUCAGACGGAAAGGACUAUACCUCCUAUGAAAAGAUCGUAAUGAAGAUUGUAUAUUGAAUUUUGGUCUAUACCUUCUAUGAAAAGAUCGAGUGGAAGAUUGUAUAUCGAAUUUUGGUGUUAAGGAUACAAGAAGUGUACAAGACUAAAGUGCUUGGAGUCAUGCUGGUCGCCUAAGUAUGCUGCAGUUACUACUUCCGGCGAACGACCCAUGAUAUCUAUGGCAUAGACGAAUAUUCACAUAUGUAUCUCGUAUAAUCUUCUCCAGCAGGAUAUUAAAGAGAUCACACGAUAAGCUGUCUCCUUGGCUGAAACCUCGUUUGGUAUUGUAUGGGAUACCAAACUCCAUGGCAGCCGGUUGUACGAACCGGAUUGACCCCAUUAAAUCAUGAGUCAUGAGCAAGGUCUGCCGCCUCAGUGGGCAAUAAUGCUGCAACAACAACAGCCAAACUCAGACAUGGCUUGAAAUACCUUUGAACGUAUAGGGCACAUGUGUUAGUGUGCGUAAUAUUUCCAAACCCAUGGGCUUAUGCUCUUGCACACUUUCACAAAUAUGUACUAUCGAAAGCGGAUUUGUAGUCAACAAAGAGAUGCUAAAAGUUGAGCUGUCCUUCUCGGGUCUUUUCCAAAAUUUGGCGCAGUGUGAAUAUCAGUUCUAUGAUUGCAACUCAUCUAUUGUUGGAUUGCCACGAAUCAAACCAUGAAAUAUUGUAACAAGUGAAAAGGCAUUAAGUUUGGCCGGGCCGAACUUUGGAUA
Molecule: long non-coding RNA, 824 nt
Organism: Stomoxys calcitrans (stable fly)
Lineage: Eukaryota; Metazoa; Arthropoda; Insecta; Diptera; Muscidae
Exons: 4
Source: RefSeq, a predicted model, not a curated record